Molecule: ribosomal RNA, 221 nt
Filed under: uncultured bacterium
Lineage: Bacteria
Description: partial 16S ribosomal RNA
Rfam family: Bacterial small subunit ribosomal RNA
Source: RNAcentral
CGACGUGAGGGACCUGCCUUGAAGAGGGGGACAACAGUUGGAAACGACUGCUAAUACCGCAUGACGCAUAGAGGUCGCAUGAUCUUUAUGCCAAAGAUUUAUCGCUUCAAGAUGGCCUCGCGCCUGAUUAGCUAGUUGGCGGGGUAACGGCCCACCAAGGCGACGAUCAGUAGCCGGACUGAGAGGUUGAACGGCCACAUUGGGACUGAGAUACGGCCCAG